This 510-nucleotide ribosomal RNA is filed under the name uncultured bacterium. Its description in RNAcentral is "partial 16S ribosomal RNA". It matches the Rfam family "Bacterial small subunit ribosomal RNA", at positions 28 to 507 of the family's 1533-position model. The record is from RNAcentral.
GACGAACGCUGGCGGCGUGCUUAACACAUGCAAGUCGAACGAAGAGCGACGGAAGCUUGCUUCUAUCAAUCUUAGCGGCGAACGGGUGAGUAACGCGUAAUCAACCUGCCCUUCAGAGGGGGACAACAGUUGGAAACGACUGCUAAUACCGCAUACGAUCUAAUCUCGGCAUCGAGGAUGGAUGAAAGGUGGCCUCUACAUGUAAGCUAUCACUGAAGGAGGGGAUUGCGUCUGAUUAGCUAGUUGGAGGGGUAACGGCCCACCAAGGCGAUGAUCAGUAGCCGGUCUGAGAGGAUGAACGGCCACAUUGGGACUGAGACACGGCCCAGACUCCUACGGGAGGCAGCAGUGGGGAAUCUUCCGCAAUGGACGAAAGUCUGACGGAGCAACGCCGCGUGAGUGAUGACGGCCUUCGGGUUGUAAAGCUCUGUUAAUCGGGACGAAAGGCCUUCUUGCGAAUAGUGAGAAGGAUUGACGGUACCGGAAGAGAAAGCCACGGCUAACUACGUG